Triticum urartu is the source of this 135-nucleotide non-coding RNA. The record is from Rfam. Lineage: Eukaryota; Viridiplantae; Streptophyta; Magnoliopsida; Poales; Poaceae.
UUCAUACUCCCUCCGUCCGGAAAUGGUUGUCAUCAAAAUGAAUAAAAGGUGAUGUAUCUAGAUGUAUAUUAGUUCUAGAUACAUCCCUUUUUAUCGAUUUUAAUGACAAGUAUUUUCGGACGGAGGGAGUAUAAA